UCCCUAUUAGCUCAGAUGGUAAAGCAUCUGCCUGCAUGCAGGAGACCCAGGUUUGAUCCCUGGGUUAGGAA
RNAcentral lists this transfer RNA (71 nucleotides) under Ovis aries (sheep). It matches the Rfam family "tRNA". Rfam says of the family: Transfer RNA (tRNA) molecules are approximately 80 nucleotides in length. The record is from Rfam by way of RNAcentral. Lineage: Eukaryota; Metazoa; Chordata; Mammalia; Artiodactyla; Bovidae.